This is a long non-coding RNA of Chinchilla lanigera (long-tailed chinchilla), 368 nucleotides long. RefSeq lists it as uncharacterized. The transcript is spliced from 3 exons. NCBI's taxonomy places the organism in Eukaryota, Metazoa, Chordata, Mammalia, Rodentia, Chinchillidae. The record is from RefSeq and is a predicted model, not a curated record.
UGCGGUGACUCCACCCUCCUUUUCAAGAAACAGGCAAUCAUCUUGGAAUGUUACAACACCGGAACGGGAGAAACACGACUGUAAAUCUAACAUUUCAUUGGCUGUAAAAUUGUUCUUAUACUCAGAUAUAGAACACAGCUUGUGCAGAAGGAUCGUUGCGGCUAGCCUCUACCCCUUCUGUAUCAGGAAAUCCUGGCUGACUUGGAGCAGGAGGAUUUUGUCCUGACACCACUGGUGCGGUGGGAGAACCCUCAUGGAGAAUCAUUCUUUUCUUCUACCUGGAUGUUUGACCCUUGGCAAGGAGCUGGUUGAGCUCUCCUGGGAGGCAUGAAAAGGAUGAAGAGGAAAAACAAAAAAAGGAAGAGGAG